Molecule: ribosomal RNA, 481 nt
Filed under: Bacillus haynesii
Lineage: Bacteria; Bacillati; Bacillota; Bacilli; Caryophanales; Bacillaceae
Description: bacterial LSU rRNA
Rfam family: Bacterial large subunit ribosomal RNA
Source: RNAcentral
GCUCAACGGAUAAAAGCUACCCCGGGGAUAACAGGCUUAUCUCCCCCAAGAGUCCACAUCGACGGGGAGGUUUGGCACCUCGAUGUCGGCUCAUCGCAUCCUGGGGCUGUAGUCGGUCCCAAGGGUUGGGCUGUUCGCCCAUUAAAGCGGUACGCGAGCUGGGUUCAGAACGUCGUGAGACAGUUCGGUCCCUAUCCGUCGCGGGCGCAGGAAAUUUGAGAGGAGCUGUCCUUAGUACGAGAGGACCGGGAUGGACGCACCGCUGGUGUACCAGUUGUUCUGCCAAGGGCAUCGCUGGGUAGCUAUGUGCGGACGGGAUAAGUGCUGAAAGCAUCUAAGCAUGAAGCCCCCCUCAAGAUGAGAUUUCCCAUUCCGCAAGGAAGUAAGAUCCCUGAAAGAUGAUCAGGUUGAUAGGUCUGAGGUGGAAGUGUGGUGACACAUGGAGCUGACAGAUACUAAUCGAUCGAGGACUUAACCUAAA